Molecule: unclassified non-coding RNA, 371 nt
Filed under: soil metagenome
Description: partial contains 5.8S ribosomal RNA, internal transcribed spacer 2, and large subunit ribosomal RNA
Rfam family: 5.8S ribosomal RNA (bases 1-120)
Source: RNAcentral
GAUGAAGAACGCAGCAAAAUGCGAUAAGUAGUGUGAAUUGCAGAAUUCAGUGAAUCAUCGAAUCUUUGAACGCACAUUGCGCCCCCUGGAAUUCCGGGGGGCAUGCCUGUUCGAGCGUCUCAGGGACGAACCCUCGCGCGGGUGUACGCGCGGUCGUGGCUGCGGUGGCGUGCCCGAGGCGGCGGCCACCGCGCUGGAAUCCAUGGGCGGACGCCUGCCGCGUGGCCGAGCGUGAUAUGACGCAUUGGCGCUCGCACGCGGAGAGGCUGCCAGCCCUGGCCCGUCUGUCGGGCGGGGGAGAGCAAGACACGUGAACUCCUCGAAUCAGGUAGGGAUACCCGCUGAACUUAAGCAUAUCAAUAAGCGGAGGA